Chelonoidis abingdonii (Abingdon island giant tortoise) is the source of this 110-nucleotide non-coding RNA. The record is from RefSeq and is a predicted model, not a curated record. Lineage: Eukaryota; Metazoa; Chordata; Testudines; Testudinidae.
UGUUUUCUGGAAGAUCACCAAAGGAUUAUAGUUUCCUCAGGAAGUCAGUGGUGUCUCGAAGAUAGCUGCUAGUGCUGGUAGCAUAGGGCAAUGCCCCUCUGCCAUGUACA